CAGAGAAUAGUUUAACUUAAAAUGCCAGCUUUGGGAGUUGGGUAUGGAGGUUUGAGUCCUCUUUCUCUGA
This 70-nucleotide transfer RNA is filed under the name Eudyptes sclateri (Erect-crested penguin). RNAcentral describes it as "tRNA-Pro". It matches the Rfam family "tRNA". Rfam says of the family: Transfer RNA (tRNA) molecules are approximately 80 nucleotides in length. Their secondary structure includes four short double-helical elements and three loops (D, anti-codon, and T loops). Lineage: Eukaryota; Metazoa; Chordata; Aves; Sphenisciformes; Spheniscidae. The record is from RNAcentral.